GGCCUCUUCGUCUAGUGGUCUAGGACGCUGCCCUCUCAAGGCGGUAACAGGGGUUCGAAGCCCCUAGGGGCUAC
RNAcentral lists this transfer RNA (74 nucleotides) under bioreactor metagenome. Its description in RNAcentral is "tRNA-Glu". It matches the Rfam family "tRNA". From Rfam's summary of the family: Transfer RNA (tRNA) molecules are approximately 80 nucleotides in length. Their secondary structure includes four short double-helical elements and three loops (D, anti-codon, and T loops). The record is from RNAcentral.